This 1199-nucleotide ribosomal RNA is filed under the name Sticta fuliginosa. RNAcentral describes it as "eukaryotic LSU rRNA". It matches the Rfam family "Eukaryotic large subunit ribosomal RNA", at positions 93 to 1309 of the family's 3401-position model. Lineage: Eukaryota; Fungi; Ascomycota; Lecanoromycetes; Peltigerales; Lobariaceae. The record is from RNAcentral.
GUGAAGCGGCAACAGCUCAAAUUUGAAAUCUGGCUCCUUCGGGGUCCGAGUUGUAAUUUGUAGAGGGUGUUUCGGGUGCGAUGCCGGUCUAAGUUCCUUGGAACAGGACGUCGUAGAGGGUGAGAAUCCCGUAUGCGACCGGCGAUCAAGCCCGUGCGAAGCCCCUUCGACGAGUCGAGUUGUUUGGGAAUGCAGCUCAAAAUGGGUGGUAAAUUUCAUCUAAAGCUAAAUACUGGCCAGAGACCGAUAGCGGACAAGUAGAGUGAUCGAAAGAUGAAAAGCACUUUGGAAAGAGAGUCAAACAGUACGUGAAAUUGUUGAAAGGGAAGCGCUUGCAAUCAGACCGGUCCGGAGGCGAUCAGCCGCUGCUCGUCAGCGGUGCACUCGCCUGCGAUCCGGCCAGCAUCGGUUUGGGCGGCGGGAUAAAAGUCCCGGGAAUGUAGCUUCCUCCGGGGAGUCUUAUAGCCCGGGUCGCAAUGCCGCCCGCCCGGACCGAGGACCGCGCUUCGGCUAGGAUGCUGGCGUAAUGGUUGCAAGCGACCCGUCUUGAAACACGGACCAAGGAGUCUAACAUCUAUGCGAGUGUUUGGGUGUCAAACCCAGGCGCGGAAUGAAAGUGAACGGAGGUGGGAACCCGUCAGACGGCGCACCAUCGACCGAUCCAGAUGUCUUCGGAUGGAUUUGAGUAUGAGCAUAGCUGUUGGGACCCGAAAGAUGGUGAACUAUGCCCGGAUAGGGUGAAGCCAGAGGAAACUCUGGUGGAGGCUCGCAGCGGUUCUGACGUGCAAAUCGAUCGUCAAAUCUAGGCAUAGGGGCGAAAGACCAAUCGAACCAUCUAGUAGCUGGUUCCUGUCGAAGUUUCCCUCAGGAUAGCAGUAACGUUUUCAGUUUUAUGAGGUAAAGCGAAUGAUUAGAGGCCUUGGGGCUGAAACAGCCUUAACCUAUUCUCAAACUUUAAAUAUGUAAGAAGUCCUUGUUACUUAGUUGAACGUGGACAUUUGAAUGUACCGUUACUAGUGGGCCAUUUUUGGUAAGCAGAACUGGCGAUGCGGGAUGAACCGAACGCGAGGUUAAGGUGCCGGAAUGCACGCUCAUCAGACACCACAAAAAGUGUCAAUUCAUCCAGACAGCCGGACGGUGGCCAUGGAAGUCGGAAUCCGCUAAGGAGUGUGUAACAACUCACCGGCCGAAUGAAUUGG